Molecule: long non-coding RNA, 301 nt
Organism: Vicia villosa (hairy vetch)
Lineage: Eukaryota; Viridiplantae; Streptophyta; Magnoliopsida; Fabales; Fabaceae
Exons: 3
Source: RefSeq, a predicted model, not a curated record
GGAAAAACUUUUCAAAGAUUAUGGGGAAAUUGUUGAUGUUCGUCUCCAUACAGACUGCAAAGGGAAGUUUAAUGGCCAUGGACAUGUUCAGUUUUCAACAGCAGAAGCAGCACAAAAGGCUCUUGCGAUGAAUAAGAAAGUAUUUUGUAACCGUCCCAUGGUUGUCGAUUUAGCUUUGGAAAGGCAAAAAUAUUCCCCCAAUGAAAGCUGGAGCAUCCAAUUUCAGAAAUGCGGAAGUUCUCAACCUCUAACUGUACUUGUAAUUGGAUUUAAUACAUCCCUUACCGAAGAGAAGGUAGUA